GUUUGGUAGAAAAUUCAAAUAAAAUGUGAAUUUCAUUGUUGAAUGUACGUAAUAUGACGACCUCGCGAAAUCUGCAAAAUAGUUGCCAAAUUUUUAGCAGAAAAAAAUUAAGAAAUACAGAGAUGUGUGGGUUAAGCUAUGGAUUAGUCGUCGAUCUAUUUUGUAUGUUUUUGUAAAACUUCUAGGAGAACUAUUAACUUAAGAUCCUGCAAGCAACAAAAAUUAUCUUCGAAUGACAAAACAACAUUUUGAUACUCCUCUGGAUUGUGUGACGCCACGUAUUGGGAAAACGAAUAUCCACUUGAGAGACGCAUUAACACCAAAAGUAGAAUUGGUCAUAUUAGGAUAUCUUGCAACAGGAGAUUCCUUCACUUCCCAAAAAACUCAAUGUCAAAGUUUAUCCCUGAAGUUUGUGAAAAAAGAAGAAAUAUAUGUAAAUUUAUGUUAUAUUUAGAAUCUUAAUAAAUAAAAGAUCUUUAUAUUUCUUA
Anthonomus grandis grandis is the source of this 488-nucleotide long non-coding RNA. RefSeq lists it as uncharacterized. The transcript has 2 exons. Lineage: Eukaryota; Metazoa; Arthropoda; Insecta; Coleoptera; Curculionidae. The record is from RefSeq and is a predicted model, not a curated record.